CCUACGGGGGGCAGCAGUUUCGAAUCAUUCACAAUGGGCGAAAGCCUGAUGGUGCGACGCCGCGUGAGGGAUGAAGGCCUUCGGGUUGUAAACCUCUGUCACUGGGGAAGAAACGCUUCAAGUUAAUAGCUUGAAGCCUGACUUAACCCAGAGAGGAAGCAGUGGCUAACUCUGUGCCAGCAGCCGCGGUAAUACAGAGACUGUGGGCGUUAUGCGGAUUCACUGGGCGUAGUGGGUUAGCAGGCAGCCGCCGGGGCUUAACCUCGGAAUUGCGCCUAAAACUACACGGCUAGAGCAUUGGAGAGGGUAGCGGAAUUCACGGUGUAGCAGUGAAAUGCGUAGAUAUCGUGAGGAACACCAGAGGCGAAGGCGGCUACCUGGACAAUUGCUGACGCUCAGGCACGAAAGCGUGGGGAGCAAAAGGGAUUAGAUACCCUUGUAGUC
This 444-nucleotide ribosomal RNA is filed under the name uncultured bacterium. RNAcentral's name for it is "partial 16S ribosomal RNA". It matches the Rfam family "Bacterial small subunit ribosomal RNA", at positions 338 to 795 of the family's 1533-position model. The record is from RNAcentral.